This 370-nucleotide ribosomal RNA is filed under the name uncultured organism. Its description in RNAcentral is "bacterial SSU rRNA". It matches the Rfam family "Bacterial small subunit ribosomal RNA", at positions 526 to 896 of the family's 1533-position model. The record is from RNAcentral.
CGUAGGGUGCAAGCGUUAAUCGGAAUUACUGGGCGUAAAGCGUGCGCAGGCGGCUUUGCAAGACAGAUGUGAAAUCCCCGGGCUCAACCUGGGAACUGCAUUUGUGACUGCAAGGCUGGAGUACGGUAGAGGGGGAUGGAAUUCCGCGUGUAGCAGUGAAAUGCGUAGAUAUGCGGAGGAACACCGAUGGCGAAGGCAAUCCCCUGGACCUGUACUGACGCUCAUGCACGAAAGCGUGGGGAGCAAACAGGAUUAGAUACCCUGGUAGUCCACGCCCUAAACGAUGUCAACUGGUUGUUGGACGGCUUGCUGUUCAGUAACGAAGCUAACGCGUGAAGUUGACCGCCUGGGGAGUACGGCCGCAAGGUUG